UACAGAGGGUGCGAGCGUUAAUCGGAAUUACUGGGCGUAAAGGGUGCGUAGGCGGUGAGAUAAGUGUGGUGUGAAAGCCCUGGGCUUAACCUAGGAAGUGCAUUGCAAACAGUCUGACUGGAGUAGAUGAGAGGGUGGUGGAAUUUCCGGUGUAGCGGUGAAAUGCGUAGAGAUCGGAAGGAACGUCAAUGGCGAAGGCAGCCACCUGGCAUCAUACUGACGCUGAGGCACGAAAGCGUGGGGAGCGAACAGG
RNAcentral lists this ribosomal RNA (253 nucleotides) under uncultured bacterium. RNAcentral's name for it is "partial 16S ribosomal RNA". It matches the Rfam family "Bacterial small subunit ribosomal RNA", at positions 524 to 776 of the family's 1533-position model. The record is from RNAcentral.